This 2717-nucleotide long non-coding RNA is filed under the name Sus scrofa (pig). RNAcentral's name for it is "lncRNA (ENSSSCG00025037860.1)". Lineage: Eukaryota; Metazoa; Chordata; Mammalia; Artiodactyla; Suidae. The record is from RNAcentral.
GAGUGUCUUCUCCGCGUCCUGGGGCGUCGGUUUCGGUCCAGCCCGGCUGCGGCCCUUGUUUGCUGGGACAGUCCUUGGGCCGGUCUCCGUCCCUGUCCAGAGGCUCCGUACGUGAGGCGGACUCUCGGGAGCACCGAGCCGGGCGCGGAUAAGGGCGAGGACAGCUGUUGCAGGAACGGGGGCAGAAAAGGAGGACCAGGGGCCGAGAAGUCGCUCUGGCUACGAAAUUUCAGACACCGUUCUCAGCCUUCUCGACCCUCCACCCUUCCCCAAAAAAGGAGCACAAAGGAGCAAGCAGGGGUCACGCCUUUCCUCACAGUCUGACCCGGUUACGUGAGGCAGCCCGAGGUAACCAGAUCCACGUCUACGAAGAGGAGAAAUAGAACCUACCGUGGCGGGUUGUUAAGAAGAUUCGCUAAGUUCAUUCAUUUGAAAAACUCAUCACAGAGCUUGACAAACAGGCCUAACCAUUGGCUGCGAUUAUGUUAUCAUCACAGGGAGCAAGAACCUUGGCCGCCGUCUCGGUUUCCCGAAUACUUACUGGUCUCUAGUUUUAUGUGACUUUUAAGAUCUGUGUGGGCAUUUUUUAUAUUGGCAUUUGUACUUCACUAGGAAUUUGUCCUUUUAUGUAGAGGUUCACGUGUAUUUGCAUAUAGUUCAUAAUACCCUUGUAUUAUUUUAAAAUCUUAUGUUUGCAGUUAUUUCAUCAUUUUGCCCUGUAUUUUGUUUAUAAUCAUCUUUUUUUAAAAAACCAGACUUGCACAUAUCUGACUUAUUACAAUUUUAAGAGCAUUUUUUGGCUAUAUGCAUUUUUUCAUCAUCUAUUUAUUAUAUCUUUACUUUCAGUUUUGUCCUUUUUUAAAGUUUUCUCCUUUUUUUUAGAGGGGAAGGGUUUGUUUUCUGAGUUGAAUGCUUAGGUCAUUAUUAUCUAACCAUUCUUAUUUCUUUAAUGACAUUUACUUGGGUCUUGAAAAUUUUGAUGUGUAGCUAUUAUUCAGUUCAAAUUUUUCUUAAUGUUAUUAUAUUACUUAUAGUAUUAAUUUAAUAUUGAUUUUCUUUUUAAAUUUAAGGGCUAUUUAACGUUACUUGGAUUCCAGUACUAUGGGUGUUUUAACUAAUAGUUCCUAAUUUUUACACUGUAGCUAGUAUUCUGCUUUAUGUUGAUCCUUUGGAAUUCACUGAGAUUUCUUCUAUGGGCCAGUACACACCAUCAAUCUUAUGAAGUAUUGUGGGUUCAUGAAAAUAAUGUGUAUUUUGUCUUUUGGGAGUAUAGAGUUCAGCACAGGUGAAAUAGCUGGUGUAGCAGGAGCUCCCUUGGGGCCUGGUGGAGUAAAGGAUACAGCGUUGUCACUGCAGCAGCUUGGGUUGCUGCUGCGGCACAGGAUGAUCCCUAGCCCAGGAACUUCCACAUGCCAUGAACACAGCCAAAACAACAAAAAAAAGACCUCAUGUAUUUAAAAAAAUUUUUUUAAUUACUCAAUGAAUUUUAUUACAUUAAGAGCUCAUUUAUUAAUUGCAUUGCUUAGCCUUUAUAUUGUUGAGUGCUUUUGGCUUUUGCUGGAUCAUUUUCUGAGAGGAGUGUAUUAAUAGCUAUAAUUAUAAUCAAUGGCAUAUAUAUUAUAUCUCCUCACCUUGAAAUUAUGAUAGUUGUUACUUGAUACAUUGUGAAAUUUUAUUUGUGGGUGCAAUUUAAUUAUUUGGGAUAAUUUUGUCUGUUUAUUUACUAGUAUAUUAAAAAUACUGUUUUGUCCCUAAUGAUACACUUUUAAUUGGGGUGUGAUUGCCAUAUAGCAUUAUAUCGGUUUUCGUAUACCACAUGAUUCUGUAUUUGUGUAUGUUGUAAAAUGACCAUCACAGUAAGUCUGGUUAACAUCUAUCACUACCCAUAGUUAACAUUUUUUGAUGUAAAUUUAUCUCAGGUUUUCUAUUACAGCUUUCUUUUGGUUUCUAUUUGUGAGAAAUUUGUUUUUCCAUCCUUUUAUUCCCGCUUUUUUCUUUCGCUGUUUUUUAUUUUUUGCUUUUUAGGGUCGCACCCACAGCACAUGGAGGUUCCCAGGCUAGGGGUCAAAUUGGAGCUACACCACAGCCACAGCAACACCGGAUCGCCAACCCCGUGAGUGAGGCCAGGGGUCGAACCCGCAUCCUCGUGGAUACUGGUCGGAUUUGUUUCUGCCGCCCCGCAACAGGAACUCCCCCACAUGUUUUAGUGUAUUUCUUCUAAACCAUGUGAAUCUAUUUUUUAACCUAUAACUCUGCAUCUCUCAGUCUGUAGGCCAAGCCGUUUACAGUUUAUUAUAAUUACCAUUACUUUUGCUGUCAUAUGGCUUCCUCCUCUCCUUCCCCUUUCUGUUUUUGUUCGGAACAAGUUGUCUUCCGGCUUUUUACAAUUAUUAUUAUUUCUGCUUUGGUUCUUAUGAUGGUUUCUUUACCUUAAAACCCAUGUUGACUUCUUCUUACUCUUAUUAACGUCUUCAACUUUUUUUUUGGGGGGGGGGUGCCUGUGGCAUGUGGAAGUUCUUGGGCCAAGGACUAAACCCACGGCAGAGCAACCCAAGACACUGCAGUGACAAAGCUGGAUCCCUCACCUGCUGUGCCACAGCGGGAACUCCUACUAAACUUUUUUUUAAGUUGAAGUAUAGCUGAUUUACGGUGUCGUGGGAAUUUCUGCUGUUCAUCAAAGUGACUCAGUUUUAAAUAUACACACACAUUAUUUUUAA